GUGGGGAAUCUUGCGCAAUGGGCGAAAGCCUGACGCAGCCAUGCAGCGUGAAUGAUGAAGGUCUUAGGAUUGUAAAAUUCUUUCACCGGGGACGAUAAUGACGGUACCCGGAGAAGAAGCUCCGGCUAACUUCGUGCCAGCAGCCGCGGUAAUACGAAGGGGGCUAGCGUUGCUCGGAAUUACUGGGCGUAAAGGGCGCGUAGGCGGACAGCUUAGUCAGAGGUGAAAGCCCAGGGCUCAACCUUGGAAUUGCCUUUGAUACUGGCUGUCUUGAGUUUGGGAGAGGUGAGUGGAACUCCGAGUGUAGAGGUGAAAUUCGUAGAUAUUCGGAAGAACACCAGUGGCGAAGGCGACUCACUGGCCCAAUACUGACGCUGAGGCGCGAAAGCGUGGGGAGCAAACAGGAUUAGAUACCCGUGUAGUCC
Molecule: ribosomal RNA, 425 nt
Filed under: uncultured bacterium
Lineage: Bacteria
Description: partial 16S ribosomal RNA
Rfam family: Bacterial small subunit ribosomal RNA
Source: RNAcentral